RNAcentral lists this ribosomal RNA (70 nucleotides) under Carassius langsdorfii (Japanese silver crucian carp). The record is from RNAcentral. Lineage: Eukaryota; Metazoa; Chordata; Actinopteri; Cypriniformes; Cyprinidae.
GUUAAGCAAGUUUGGGCCUGGUUAGUACUUGGAUGGGAGACCGCCUGGGAAUACCAGGUACUGUAAGCUU